UGAGGGAUAUUGGGCAAUGGGGGAAACCCUGACCCAGCGACGCCGCGUGAGGGAAGAAGGUUUUCGGAUUGUAAACCUCUGUCCUUGGUGACGAUAAUGACGGUAGCCAAGGAGGAAGCCACGGCUAACUACGUGCCAGCAGCCGCGGUAAUACGUAGGUGGCGAGCGUGUCCGGAAUUACUGGGUGUAAAGGGAGCGUAGGCGGGAGAGCAAGUCGACUGUGAAAGCUAUGGGCUUAACCCAUAGAUGCGAUCGAAACUGUUCAUCUUGAGUGAAGUAGAGGCAGGCGGAAUUCCUAGUGUAGCGGUGAAAUGCGUAAAUAUUAGGAGGAACACCAGUGGCGAAGGCGGCCUGCUGGGCUUUAACUGACGCUGAGGCUCGAAAGCGUGGGGAGCAAACAGGAUUGAUACC
Molecule: ribosomal RNA, 411 nt
Filed under: uncultured bacterium
Lineage: Bacteria
Description: bacterial SSU rRNA
Rfam family: Bacterial small subunit ribosomal RNA
Source: RNAcentral